UAGGCUUUAGCUUGGGUGGAGGGUAAAGUUCAGCCAAGCAUCGAUCCGUAGCUGUUGAAGAGACGAUCAGACACACUGGGACUGAGAACACGUCCAGACUCUACGGAGCAGGCAGUGGGGAAUUUUGACCAUGGGGGAAAUCUGAUCCAGCAUCCCGCGUGUAUGAUGAAGGCUUCGGGUGUAAAGUACUUUUGGCAGAGAAGAAAAGGUAUCCCUAAUACGGGAUACUGCUGACGGUAUCUGCAGAAUAAGCACCGGCUAACUACGUGCCAGCAGCCGCGGUAAUACGUAGGGUGCAAGCGUUAAUCGGAAUUACUGGGCGUAAAGCGUGUGUAGGCGGUUCGGAAAGAAAGAUGUGAAAUCCCAGGGCUCAACCUUGGAACUGCAUUUUUAACUGCCGAGCUAGAGUAUGUCAGAGGGGGGUAGAAUUCCACGUGUAGCAGUGAAAUGCGUAGAUAUGUGGAGGAAUACCGAUGGCGAAGGCAGCCCCCUGGGAUAAUACUGACGCUCAGACACGAAAGCGUGGGGAGCAAACAGGAUUAGAUACCCUGGUAGUCCACGCCCUAAACGAUGUCAACUAGCUGUUGGGGCCGUUAGGCCUUAGUAGCGCAGCUAACGCGUGAAGUUGACCGCCUGGGGAGUACGGUCGCAAGAUUAAAACUCAAAGGAAUUGACGGGGACCCGCACAAGCGGUGGAUGAUGUGGAUUAAUUCGAUGCAACGCGAAAAACCUUACCUACCCUUGACAUGUCUGGAAAGCCGAAGAGAUUUGGCCGUGCUCGCAAGAGAACCGGAACACAGGUGCUGCAUGGCUGUCGUCAGCUCGUGUCGUGAGAUGUUGGGUUAAGUCCCGCAACGAGCGCAACCCUUGUCAUUAGUUGCUACGCAAGAGCACUCUAAUGAGACUGCCGGUGACAAACCGGAGGAAGGUGGGGAUGACGUCAAGUCCUCAUGGCCCUUAUGGGUAGGGCUUCACACGUCAUACAAUGGUCGGGACAGAGGGUCGCCAACCCGCGAGGGGGAGCCAAUCUCAGAAACCCGAUCGUAGUCCGGAUCGCAGUCUGCAACUCGACUGCGUGAAGUCGGAAUCGCUAGUAAUCGCGGAUCAGAAUGUCGCGGUGAAUACGUUCCCGGGUCUUGUACACACCGCCCGUCACACCAUGGGAGUGGGUUUCACCAGAAGUAGGUAGCCUAACCGUAAGGAGGGCGCUACCCCGUCGGGGU
RNAcentral lists this ribosomal RNA (1223 nucleotides) under Alcaligenes sp. RNAcentral describes it as "bacterial SSU rRNA". It matches the Rfam family "Bacterial small subunit ribosomal RNA", at positions 236 to 1468 of the family's 1533-position model. Lineage: Bacteria; Pseudomonadati; Pseudomonadota; Betaproteobacteria; Burkholderiales; Alcaligenaceae. The record is from RNAcentral.